ACACUGACGUCGCGACGCAUAUCAAUAAGCGGAGGAAAAGAAACUAACAAGGAUUCCCUUAGUAACGGCGAGUGAUAGCGGGAAGAGCUCAAAUUUGGAAUCUUCAAGGUUUUACCUUGACGAAUUGUAGUUUAAAGAAGUGUUUUCUGUUGAAGUUUUGGUAAAAGUUCUUUGGAAUAGGACAUCAUAGAGGGUGAGAAUCCCGUAUUUGACCAUUACUUUCAGCUUUGUGAUACACUUUCAAAGAGUCGGAUUGUUUGGGAAUGCAGUCCAAAAUGGGUGGUAAAUUUCAUCUAAAGCUAAAUAUUGGCGAGAGACCGAUAGCGAACAAGUACCGUGAGGGAAAGAUGAAAAGAACUUUGAAAAGAGAGUUAAACAGUACGUGAAAUUGUCAAAAGGGAAGCGUUUGACACCAGUGUUGCUUUCUCGAAAAUCAAUUAAAAAGAGUUGGAUUUUGUGUUGUAUUGACUUUAUCAGGCUUUCUUCACUCUUUUCCAGCUUUUUUUAAUGCACUUUUCGUUUAACAAGUCAACAUCAGUUUCUUUUGUUGUAAAAAGGUCAUUGGAAGGUGGCUCUCUCUUCGGAGAAAGUGUUUAUAGCCUUUGACUCAUGCAAUCGGAGAGACUGAGGUCUGCAGCGUAGAUCCUUCGGGGUUAGAUACAUUUGUGCUAAGUUAUAGCUUUUCAUAGACAACUUGUUGACUAUGUUUAGUCUUGUAGCUUACUCGCUUAUGCUAUUUUACCUACGCUUAGGAUGUUGAACUCUAUCACACACAG
Molecule: ribosomal RNA, 776 nt
Filed under: uncultured Neocallimastigales
Lineage: Eukaryota; Fungi; Neocallimastigomycota; Neocallimastigomycetes; Neocallimastigales
Description: partial large subunit ribosomal RNA
Rfam family: Eukaryotic large subunit ribosomal RNA
Source: RNAcentral